Molecule: ribosomal RNA, 474 nt
Filed under: uncultured organism
Description: partial 16S ribosomal RNA
Rfam family: Bacterial small subunit ribosomal RNA
Source: RNAcentral
CACUCCUGCGGGAGGCAGCAGUGGGGAAUAUUGCACAAUGGGCGCAAGCCUGAUGCAGCCAUGCCGCGUGUAUGAAGAAGGCCUUCGGGUUGUAAAGUACUUUCAGCGGGGAGGAAGGCGAUAAGGUUAAUAACCUUGUCGAUUGACGUUACCCGCAGAAGAAGCACCGGCUAACUCCGUGCCAGCAGCCGCGGUAAUACGGAGGGUGCAAGCGUUAAUCGGAAUUACUGGGCGUAAAGCGCACGCAGGCGGUCUGUCAAGUCGGAUGUGAAAUCCCCGGGCUCAACCUGGGAACUGCAUUCGAAACUGGCAGGCUAGAGUCUUGUAGAGGGGGGUAGAAUUCCAGGUGUAGCGGUGAAAUGCGUAGAGAUCUGGAGGAAUACCGGUGGCGAAGGCGGCCCCCUGGACAAAGACUGACGCUCAGGUGCGAAAGCGUGGGGAGCAAACAGGAUUAGAUACCCCAGUAGUCCCAUG